GAAAAAGUGAGCUUCCUACCAUGCAGCCAAAUUAUGUCUUUUUGUUUCUUCUGAUGAGUAACAUCCAUGUCUGAAACAAAACCAAGACACUAGGAGGUGCUGAUGUACCAAGUCGUCUGUUGCUAUGGCAACCGUACGCAAUCUCCAACUCAGGAUCUGCCCAUGAGAAGUUCCCCCUCUGCAUUGCUGUGACAAUUUUGAGCCAAGUUCAUUACCAGUCACCAAUUCAAACAAAACAGAGUUUACUGAAAAGGUGAGCAUUUUCCUUAUUAAAAUAUAAUUUAUGAUCCUACUAUUUUUCAGAAAUCAUAAAUCAAUAAAUUAUUGCUUUUAAGACAAAACAAAUAACUAUAGUAUGCUACUGCAUCUCCAGCUUUUUUUUCAGUGGGUGAUUACUAAAGUGUGGCCAUUCCAAAAUAUUUGGGGUAAAUGUGGCCUGACUCUAAGCAAAUAUGGAUUUUUGUUUUUCUUGUUUAUUGAUUUGGAACUGUUCUAAAAGUGCACAAUCAAAAUGUGAAUGAAUUUGUUUUGAGUCAUGCAGCAUCAGUUAUUAAGUAUUUGAUUCUGAAGCUGUAAUAAUUGAGCAAACUAUACAAUAUAAAAAUAAUUUCAUACAGUAAAAUGAAAUAUUUUCUUUCUUUGGUAGACAGACUUGCAAUUUGUUCAAGAUUGUGAUCACCUAUUCGUAACAAAGAAUAUAGUUUUUUCUUCAAUAAUCGGAUUAAAAUUGUGAAUUAAAAAAGCUGAAAAUUGUUUAUUUUAUGAUUGGUAUUAGCUUAUCUUGGAAUCACGGAAUACUGCUUUUAAGUUGAAAGCUAUAUUGCCUAAGGGUACAUAACAUUAUGUGAAUGAAAAAAAGCAGGACAAAUGGAUUGAAUUUAACAAGUUAAUACACCUAUUGGAGAAUAUACAAAUUAGGAUUAUGAUUGCAGUACUUCAAAAGCGUUCUGUAUUUAUUGAUAAACCUUUCUCAUUCUCUAUUAAAAAAGUACAAUAAUCAUGAUUCAAUAUUUGUUAAAAUGUAAAAAUAACAACAAUUUCCUAUUAAGAUGAAGCCUUGCCCAAUGAAUAGUAGGUUUGAAUAAAAGGAUAAACAUCAAACAAUUAUAUUUCUGAAAAAGAAAUCAGCAUAAAAUAUAGAGUAUUUAAGUUUUGCUCAUUAAAAAAUGGUAUUCGCAUCACAGACAAUAUGCAAAUGAAAUAGCUGAUGAUGACAUUCACUCACUAUUCUCUUUUGAAAAAUGAAAUAUUUCCUUUUUCCCUCCAAUUAUGUGGAAGUUAGUUUCAUCAAAUAUGGAAAAUGUACAUCAUCAGUAUAUUGAUUUGGCAGA
Long non-coding RNA from Lytechinus variegatus (green sea urchin), 1331 nucleotides. RefSeq lists it as uncharacterized. The record is from RefSeq and is a predicted model, not a curated record. Lineage: Eukaryota; Metazoa; Echinodermata; Echinoidea; Temnopleuroida; Toxopneustidae. The transcript has 3 exons.